This 483-nucleotide long non-coding RNA is filed under the name Rattus norvegicus (Norway rat). Its description in RNAcentral is "long non-coding RNA NONRATT025930". The record is from RNAcentral. Lineage: Eukaryota; Metazoa; Chordata; Mammalia; Rodentia; Muridae.
CGGCCGCGGGAGCGCAGUGCCAGCGCCGCCCGGCCCCACCGAGAGGGGCGCACUCGCCGCUGCGGGGCUCGCACCGCUCACCGCAGCCCCCUCCCGCCGACCCGCAAGUCCUCUCAAACCCUGAAUAAGUAAGUGGUCUGUGCCUGUUCCAAGGGCAGAGUGGAAAGUGGCAGUGGUCCUGUCCAGUGGACAUACUGCUUCCCUACUUGGACUCUCCAGGAUUCCAUCACAGAUUGCUGCAAUGUCUGUAUCUAAUCUAUCAUGGCUCAUAGCACUAUGAACUUGCCUCAGAGAAUCCCCUCCUUUGUGACUCAUAAGUUUGGGUUGAAGAAAAAGUCCCAGUCAGUGGAUAUUACUGCUCCAGGGUUCAACCCUUUGGGUGGUGCAGGGAAGCAAGCACCACAAGCCAGCAAGCCCCCAGCACCCAAGACUCCCAUCAUAGAAGAAGAACAGAACAACUCGGCAAACACCCAGAAGCAUCCU